Molecule: ribosomal RNA, 171 nt
Filed under: Mugil cephalus (flathead mullet)
Lineage: Eukaryota; Metazoa; Chordata; Actinopteri; Mugiliformes; Mugilidae
Description: partial 12S rRNA
Source: RNAcentral
CACCGCGGUUAUACGAAAGACCCAAGCUGAUAGAUGCCGGCGUAAAGAGUGGUUAAGUAUCUUGAUAGAACUAAAGCCGAACGCCCUCAAGACCGUUAUACGUUUCCGAAGGUAUGAAGCCCAACUACGAAAGUAACUUUAACUAUAUCCGACUCCACGAAAGCUGUGAAA